Molecule: long non-coding RNA, 324 nt
Filed under: Ricinus communis (castor bean)
Lineage: Eukaryota; Viridiplantae; Streptophyta; Magnoliopsida; Malpighiales; Euphorbiaceae
Description: long non-coding RNA (RCOM_LNC003783)
Source: RNAcentral
AUUCGCAAUGACGGUAUUUAGUGGUAUCAGAUGAAUUAUUUAAAAUAUUUUUUAGGGACCCACCAUUUGCUCUCUGACCAGUAACCUACUCCUAGAAAACAAGAGAAACCACAAAUCUUUGCGAAAUAUAAGUUAGCCACGAAAAACAUGAGUCUACACAAACUACCCCAUGCAUGCAUAUUCACAUGAUAUCACUCAAGAACAACAACCAGAAGAAGAAGAAAGAAGAAAAGAAAACACAAAAACAGAAAGGAGAAAUAAUGACGAUGAAAAGUUUGCAAUGUUCUUGGUUUUGAUAACCAUGAGUGUGGUGCUAAACCAUGU